GAUGAACGCUGGCGGCGUGCCUAACACAUGCAAGUCGAGCGAACAGACGCUGAGCUUGUUCCUUUGUCGUUAGCGGCGGACGGGUGAGUAACACGUGUAUCACCUACUUAUAUUUCUGGGAUAACUUCGGGAAACCGGAUCUAAUACCAUAUAAUAUAUUGAACCGCAUUGUUCAAUAGUGAAUGUCGGCUUUGCUGUCUCUAAUAGAUGGUUCCGGGCGGCAUUAGCGGGUUGGUAAGGUAACGGCUUACCAAGGCUACGAUGCGUAGCCGAACUGAGAGGGUGAUAGGCCGCACUGGAGCUGAGACGCGGUCCAGGCUCCUACGGGAGGCAGCAGUAGGGAAUCGGACGCAAAGGGCGGAAGCCUGACGGAGUGGGGCGGCGUGAGUGAUGAAGGUCUUCGGAUCGUAAAAAUCUGUUAUGAGGGAAGAACAAAUGUGUAAGUAACUAUGCACGUCUUGACGGUAACUAAUCAGAAAGCAACGGCUAACUACGUG
This 497-nucleotide ribosomal RNA is filed under the name uncultured bacterium. RNAcentral describes it as "partial 16S ribosomal RNA". It matches the Rfam family "Bacterial small subunit ribosomal RNA", at positions 28 to 507 of the family's 1533-position model. The record is from RNAcentral.